This 625-nucleotide ribosomal RNA is filed under the name Flavobacterium limicola. RNAcentral's name for it is "bacterial SSU rRNA". It matches the Rfam family "Bacterial small subunit ribosomal RNA", at positions 28 to 654 of the family's 1533-position model. The record is from RNAcentral. Lineage: Bacteria; Pseudomonadati; Bacteroidota; Flavobacteriia; Flavobacteriales; Flavobacteriaceae.
GAUGAACGCUAGCGGCAGGCUUAACACAUGCAAGUCGAGGGGUAUGCUUCUUCGGAAGCAGAGACCGGCGCACGGGUGCGUAACGCGUAUGCAAUCUACCUUUCACAGAGGGAUAGCCCAGAGAAAUUUGGAUUAAUACCUCAUAGUAUAGCAGUUUCGCAUGAAACCACUAUUAAAGUCACAACGGUGAAAGAUGAGCAUGCGUCCCAUUAGCUAGUUGGUAAGGUAACGGCUUACCAAGGCAACGAUGGGUAGGGGUCCUGAGAGGGAGAUCCCCCACACUGGUACUGAGACACGGACCAGACUCCUACGGGAGGCAGCAGUGAGGAAUAUUGGACAAUGGGCGCAAGCCUGAUCCAGCCAUGCCGCGUGCAGGAUGACGGUCCUAUGGAUUGUAAACUGCUUUUGUACAGGAAGAAACACCUCUACGUGUAGAGACUUGACGGUACUGUAAGAAUAAGGAUCGGCUAACUCCGUGCCAGCAGCCGCGGUAAUACGGAGGAUCCAAGCGUUAUCCGGAAUCAUUGGGUUUAAAGGGUCCGUAGGCGGUCAGAUAAGUCAGUGGUGAAAGCCCAUCGCUCAACGGUGGAACGGCCAUUGAUACUGUCUGACUUGAAUUAUUAGG